RNAcentral lists this ribosomal RNA (406 nucleotides) under uncultured bacterium. RNAcentral's name for it is "partial 16S ribosomal RNA". It matches the Rfam family "Bacterial small subunit ribosomal RNA", at positions 30 to 526 of the family's 1533-position model. The record is from RNAcentral.
AUUGAACGCUGGCGGCAGGCUUAACACAUGCAAGUCGAGCGAGCGGCGGACGGGUGAGUAAUGUCUGGGAAACUGCCUGAUGGAGGGGGAUAACUACUGGAAACGGUAGCUAAUACCGCAUACCAUCGGAUGUCCCCAGAUGGGAUUAGCUAGUAGGUGGGGUGAGGGCUCACAUAGUCGACGAUCCCUGGCUGGUCUGAGAGGAUGAGCAGACACACUGGGACUGAGACACGGUCCAGACUCCUACGGGAGGCAGCAGUGGGGAAUAUUGAACAAUGGGCGCAAGCCUGAUGCAGCCAUGCCGGGUGUAUGAAGAAGGCCUUCGGGUUGUAAAGUACUUUCAGCGGGGAGGCGUUACCCGCAGAAGAAGCACCGGCUAACUCCGUGCCAGCAGCCGCGGUAAUAC